Arachis duranensis is the source of this 675-nucleotide long non-coding RNA. RefSeq lists it as uncharacterized. The transcript is spliced from 3 exons. Lineage: Eukaryota; Viridiplantae; Streptophyta; Magnoliopsida; Fabales; Fabaceae. The record is from RefSeq and is a predicted model, not a curated record.
UGCAUGUUCUUGGCAACAAUGAUCAUUUAAGGAACUAUUUCUACUGGAAGGAUAUACGUAUAUUCGAGGUCCAUCAUACUCUCGUGUGGAAAUAUACUUUGGAAUCUUCAGCCAUUACCUACAUGCUCUCUCAUGCCCGAAACUUCAAUUUUGAGAUAUGCGAAGAAUCACAUGGAUAUGGUGUACCAACUUCCAAUGUAGUAGAGUGUGGAAUAUGCCCUCUUUAUACCAAAGAGAAAGAUAAUAAUUUCCUGCCGGAGAUUAUUGGGUUCACUACAAGGCUUGCGCACCAGAUCACUGAAUUAUGCGAUAGGCCGAUAGACAAGUGCCUUUUGAAAGGGUAAAAUAUUUGAUGCGAAACCAGAAGAUCUUUUGUUUUGCAUGGUCAACGUGGAACAGCUGAGGAUAACAAGUCUUUUUGUAUUUUUGGACGCAAUUCUGUGGUGGCAUUUUCUGCAUUCAUCAGUACCUGCUUGUUCAGUUUUCCUGCAUGACGACGCAUGAUGAACGCGGUUGUUUCCCCCUCCUCUUUUUGGUUGGUUGAGUUCAUAAUCUAUGAAGCCAUGUAUAAUUGAUUAAUUGUUCUUUGUAUUAGGUGAAUUGUGACUUAAUAUUUGGAUUAAAGACCGUUUCAGUUAAGAAUUUUUUAUAUAUAUUAGGUGAAACUUUUUUGUA